GUCUUUAUGGUGUAAUGGAUAGCACAGGAGUCUUCUAAACUCUUAGUCAAGGUUCGAUUCCUUGUAAAGACACCA
RNAcentral lists this transfer RNA (75 nucleotides) under Escherichia coli. Its description in RNAcentral is "tRNA-Arg". It matches the Rfam family "tRNA". Rfam says of the family: Transfer RNA (tRNA) molecules are approximately 80 nucleotides in length. Their secondary structure includes four short double-helical elements and three loops (D, anti-codon, and T loops). RNAcentral also lists the same sequence under 30 other names. Lineage: Bacteria; Pseudomonadati; Pseudomonadota; Gammaproteobacteria; Enterobacterales; Enterobacteriaceae. The record is from RNAcentral.